Molecule: ribosomal RNA, 254 nt
Filed under: uncultured bacterium
Lineage: Bacteria
Description: partial 16S ribosomal RNA
Rfam family: Bacterial small subunit ribosomal RNA
Source: RNAcentral
CACGUAGGGUGCGAGCGUUGUCCGGAAUUAUUGGGCGUAAAGAGCUCGUAGGCGGUGUGUCGCGUCGGCCGUGAAAACCUGCAGCUUAACUGUGGGCGUGCGGUCGAUACGGGCAUCACUGGAGUUCGGCAGGGGAGACUGGAAUUCCUGGUGUAGCGGUGAAAUGCGCAGAUAUCAGGAGGAACACCGGUGGCGAAGGCGGCUUUCUGGGCCUUACCUGACGCUGAGACGCGAAAGCGUGGGGAGCGAACCGG